Hypanus sabinus (Atlantic stingray) is the source of this 5879-nucleotide long non-coding RNA. RefSeq lists it as uncharacterized. NCBI's taxonomy places the organism in Eukaryota, Metazoa, Chordata, Chondrichthyes, Myliobatiformes, Dasyatidae. The record is from RefSeq and is a predicted model, not a curated record. The transcript is spliced from 3 exons.
AUUUGAUUGCGACACUAACACAAGUUUCUUCUGGCAAGAAUAUGACCAAUCAGCUCUCCCAGAUAACCCUGUCAGCAUUUCUCCCUCAAUCAAUUGAUGCAAAGCAAGACAGAUCAUUCCCCUCUCUGCUGUACGACUUGCUUGGCGGAGAGGAGAGGAGAGGAGAACAGUGAAAGGCUGCUUAGAUACGAAAACGAAUGGAACCUUGGAUCUAUGCUCAAGAGCAUUAAAGGCUACUUUAUACCCUGUGACAUAUUCAAAAAAAGAACCAGCUCAGCUCUUUUUUCCCAGGGUCGUGGAAUCAAGAACUGGAGGCCAGAAGUCUAAGAUUUCCAGGAACUUAUUUAGAUCAUCUUGGAAUCCAUCUUCUCAGCUCAAGCCCAGACUGCAGCCAAAGUGCCCAGAGACGGCAAUAUCUAAAGCGGCUCGCCAUCUAGCAGUUAAUGCUUUAACAGAUUACUAGGCUUCUUCGGUGCCAUGCCAGGGGUGGCAGUGGCUCCAAGAAGAAUAAUUGUUGCACUGUCAUCUCUCUCCAUGGAAAACAACCAGGCUCCACCUGUGUCAACUAUGAGACAUGCAGAUCAUGGUGAGGUUUUUGAGAUCCAGAGCUGGAUGAGAUCAUUCUCAAAUUCCACUGGAGAGAUUAAUGAAGACCUGGACAUAGACAUUUACAGAGCUCAAUGUUGCUACUUGAACUAAUUGAAGUAGCAAAGUUGAAGACUAAUUGAAGAAUUGUCUAUGAGUUAUUUAAGUUUUAGCUAAGGACCAAAAAAUAUUCAGCCUUACACUGAAGUGAUGAUUUCAAGAUAAUGCCAUCAAUUGAAUUGAAUUGACUUUAUUACUUACAUCCUUCAUUUCCAUGAGAAGUAAAAUUUAACUCAGUGAUAUCAUUACUACUGUAUCUUAGAGUAAGCUGGCUGUGGAUUGCCCUUGAUGCUCGAGCAGCUUCAACCAAGUGUGACAUGGGGAAGCACUAGUUAGACCAAAGUUGAUGGGCAUCGAUGGAAAAAUGUCACAAUGGUUGGAGUUGCAACUUACACAAAUGUAAAUUGUUGCAGUUUUUGAAGGUCAAUAACCACAGGAGUUAAUGCAGGAGUUCCUCAGGGCUGUGUCCUAGACCAAACCAUCUUGGGCUGCUUCACCAAAGACCUGCCUUACAUUGUGUCAGAAAUAGCUUCUGUUCACAACUCCUCAAAAAAUGAAGUACAUGCACACAGGCAAUAUACAGGCAUGUACUGACAACUAGUACGCAGCAUGAGUAAUGCCCAUUCAACAGAACUGCCAGGGAAUAAUCAUCUCCAACAAGGAGAUUAACCAACUACUUUACCAUUCAAUGGAUUUACCAUUGCUAAGUCCAUCCUCCUUUCACUACAGUAUGCACCACGUACUAAACGCUCUGCAGUUACUCCCAUAGCCCUUCCUAAUCACGUAACCUCUGCUAUCUAGAAGAACAAGGUGCAUGUGAACACCAGUGCCUGUUCUAUUUCUUUCUAUUUGGGCCUCUGUCCAAUCAAUUUCAGGAGGGUGCUGCAUAAGUUUGGGGCUGAGAUCAGGGAGUUGGAGUAGGAGCUAACUGAAGCUCGUAUUUGAUGUGUCAGGUGGAGUUGAAGGACUAGGUAACCAAUGGGUAGGGAAAUAAAAAGGGGAACCUCUCUGUGUUAGAAGGAGCACUUUCCCAGCACAGGAGCAAUGUGCUUCAAGUGUCCACUGGCAAGUCAUUGAGUUAGAGAAUAACACAGCAUGGAAGCAUGUCCUUCUGCCCAAAUUAUCCAUGCUGACAAACAUGCUGGUCUGAUUUCCCUGCAUUUGACCCAUAUUCCUCCAAAAGUACAGGUAUGCAAACAUUUUUUUUUAAAUAAGUUCCUCUUAAAUUAGAAGACUGAAACAACCAGUGAAACCAACCAGCGUAAUUGUAUUUCGUAAAUGACACAUUCAGGCCAAUAGAAAGUUGGUCAAAGUUAUGUUUCAGAUUGACAAUCCGGGUGGUUAAGUUAAUAUAGUUUCACUUAGGUAAGUUAAUUCAGUUUCAUUCUUGCUUCAGACUUUACCUAACUGGAGAGGCGAACCUUCGAAGAUUGUGGCUGAGUUAUUAACAGUUCAGACAAAACUGUGGACAAGUAAUAUUUGCUUUUAUUAGUAACAGUAAUUUGAAAACUGUCAAUUGACACACGUAUUUUAAGAAAAAAGACAGGAUUUUGGCUUAGCUCAAAUGUUGUGGAGAUUAAAUCAUAUCGAUAAAUGUUUUACCUCAGUAAUUAUUGGUUUAUUUUCAGUACGCGCCGUUGGAGCCCUGUGGUUCAUUGCUCCCAUCCAGGAAUGUGAUUAGUUUGGUUUGCAGGGUCAGCUGCUUAAACAGGUGAAAAUGGGGGUCUGUGACUGCCCAUGUAAAUGGCAAGCCCCAGGCACAGCUGGGUAGAAGGUCAGAGACCUUGGGAACAGCUGGGAUGAAGGUCUGAGGCCUCCCUACACCGCCCCCCACCCAACAACAGGAGAACAUUGCAACAGAGGCACGAUAUUGCAAAGUUCACAAUUUCUGCAUUAUUGCAAUUUAUGUUAGGUCUGUGUUCACAUUGUAGUGCUGGAAACACCAGCGUAGCAUGAAUGAAUUGUAAAGUCAUUGUUUGUCUCAUGUCAACCAGGGUUAAAAACGUGUCAAUGACUGCAUUAUGAUACGAUAUGCAUUCAGGAUCCAGGGUGUUCCUGUUCACUCUAUCCUGUUCCCAACUUUAUCUCCCUCUGUGGAAUUUUGUACACUAAAGAUUCCCGGGUAAAUUUUUUUAAAAAUUAAAGGCCAUGCAUCUAUGGCAAAACACAAAUAUAUGGAAGUUCCAUAAAAGUAAGUCAUACUGUCGUACAAACUCUGCUUGUAAAGUGAUUAGAGUGGGUUUUCUGUCAGCAGCUCCUGAAAUAUAUUACAGCAAAACUUCCGUCAGUAUAACACAUUGUGAAUAUUUAGAAGCUGCUGGCCCUCUAUUUGAUGGAUAAAGACCAUUAUAAACUUAUAACAUUAGAUAGCACAAGUUACUCAUUCCUAAUAAGCAUUUAUUAAAAUUAUUUUGAAUGUAAUGUUACAAUUGCUGCUGCUGUCCACAUUUUCUCUCUUUGAACUAGCUAAAUCCUUCAGGCCAUUGUUUCAGAAAUGUGAAAUGCUUCACUGAGGUUAAUGAUUUUUUAGCUUAAUUACACUGAUGAAUUUAUAAUAAUAUAUCAGAUAUUGUAAAACAAACUCAUGCCUAAUGCAAUGCUACGAUGACCAAAAAUAAAUAUUCUGAUGGAAUAACUAAACAACAAACUUGGUUCUUUAAAUCUGUCUGCUCAAGAUUUUCUUUCAUAUAUUUUCAGAAACAUUAUCAGAAAAUGAAUCAAUUUAAAGUGCAAUGAAUCAAACUGUGCCAGAACAGAUGAUAUAGCCUUGAAAAUUAGUAGUAUCUUAUUGCUACAUUAGACAAAAUAGUUGAAAAUUAGUCACAGACUAAUGCACAAUUCUGCUACCAAUUAUUUUAUUUCACACAAUUAGAUGCCAAGACAGCAGCAGCAGGGUGGUUAUCUAUAAGAAGGCCUUAUGGUCUUAUACAUUUUAUUUACAAGCCUCUGGAAAUAAAUGCUUUUUGAAUUUUAUUUUCAUUUUUCAAACAUACUGUUUAUGAAAACUAAGUAAAAAUCACAGCUGCAAGUCCUGGGGAUAAAGCAGUAGUAUUUCAAAGAGUGUUGCAAUUGCAAGAAGUGUACACAGUGGCCGACUGUUUAAUAUGUACACUGUGGAGUCUUGAUGUGUACUUUGUAUUUUGCAAAAUGUUGGUUUGCUUGUAAAAUUGAACUUCAAUCAUUGAAAUUCUGAGUAAACUUGUUGCAGCAAAACAAUAUGUUGUACUAAAUGGUAGAGAACUUGAAAAAAAAUUUAAACGUGCUUAGCAAUAGUACUGGAAGCUGGGAAGUAAAAACAAAUCUAAUUUUAUGCACAAAGAUGAACUUGCAGGAAAAAUAAGUUUGCAGUUACAGAACAUCUUUCAUCUUCUCGUGUCUCUCCAAAACAUUUAUUAAAGGUAUAUCUUGAACCGAUAAUUACCUAUUGUUCAGAAGACAAGUACAGCUGUCAGUUUCUACACAGCAAAGUCCCGCAACAGCAAAUUAAUGAAUUACUGAAUAAUCUCUUCACGAAUGUCUUGCUUAAGGGAGGAAUGUUAACAAAUAUAUAUACCGGCAAUUUACUUGUUCUUCAAAUAAUGUCCAGAGUUUUUUAUACCUAAAUGACGAGGGGAUUUAUAUGUCUCAGUUUAAUAUCACAUCCAAAAAUCAGUUCAUUUUUAUGAUAUUCCUCAAUACUACCAAAGCAGAAUUUGAGUAUUUCUGCUGGGGUGAGAUUAAACUUAUAACUAAUGCAUCUCAAAGAGCCAAAUGAAGCUUUGUAAAAUAAAUAAAAUGAGGAACAAGAAGGAAAAACAAGGGACACUUACUACAAUAUGGUAGAAAUAAAUUGAGAUGAUAUCUUUAUUGGAGACUAUGUCAUGAAAUAUUAUAUUUUGAAAAUCUGAGACUGAAUGCUUCUAAAGUUAGCUAGAAAUAUAUUGUAUAUUAAAGUACAAACUACAAACUAUCUUGGAAAGUCAAGUUAUAUUAACCUGUCUAGUUUUGCAAAUACUGUAAAUUUGGAUUUAUUUGUUCAAUGAAUAUCAAACAGUACAAUUCCCUCUAGACUGUGUCAACAAAACAUUGUUCACCUUUCACACAACAUCAGGUUUGAAAUAUGUUCUCAAUUACCAGUAAAUCUGGGGCUAGUCCCUCUGUCACCUAAACAAAUCCUUAGACAAAUUGGUUUGGUUGUUUUCAAUGGUUCCACAUCACAAUAACCAAAAUAUAAGUGAGGAUAAAAAUGUGUACCAGUGUGGCAGUGGAUGUACUUUUAAGAUCUGAAAUGAAGCCAAGUUGAGGAAGAGAUUAUCAAAAUGAUUCUUUAUGUUUUGAAGCAGAGAUUCUUUGAAUGCAUGUAAAGAAUGUCUGCCCUUUCUCUUUAGAUUAGAACUACUUGUCAAAUUUAGUCAUGUGAGUCGGACUUCAACAAGUGUGAAAUAAUCCUAUUUUAAAAUACCACAAAUUUGUUAUUUAUAAGAGCUUGCUGAUAAACUCUGUGGAUAUAAAAUAUUAGUUUGAGAUUGUAUACCUUUUGUUCUGCUAAAAUUGUCCAUGAACAACUUAGCCUAAUUAUAAGGUCACUAUCACAGACAGGGGAUGGAUCACUAAUUUUCAUUAUAAUAUGAUAAAUUUAAAAUAUAGCCUAAAACAUACACUGAUGAAGAAAGUGUUUGGCUUUUCUCUCUUUCUCUCUCUCUCUCUCACACACACACACACACACACACACACACAGAAUGCUGAGAAAAAUAUUCAUAUUCAUAUGCUGAUGCCCCAAAGAUCUUCACAUGCUUGAAUUAUUUUAGAGAUCUCUGCAAUACAUGGGAGAAUGCUACAGCCAUUUUGUACGCACCCUUCACUUUCACAGAGAGGGAAUCAAAGAAGGAAAAUCUUCUUGGUCUGUUUUUAUUCGGCCUCUGCUGUUUGGCUUUGUCAUAGACGGGAGAAUGUUUCAAUACAGGAAAGGAUAUGGAUACUGUAAUCUAUGGAAAAGAAAAUAUUUUGUGAAUUUCCACACUUAAGAAAAAAAUUUCAGCAUUUUAAAAUUGUUAAAUAGUAAUUAGGUAUUAACUAAGAGCAAAACGUAUUGUAGGAAUUGAUGUUACAUUGAAGUAUAGAAUGCUGAAUAUGUGAACUUCCAUGUUAUAUUAUGGUGUUAACAGGUUUAUUUUAUGGUCACAGAUUACCAGCAUAUAAACCAUGCCGGCUAAUCCACUGCCUACUGACUAAAAUGUAAUAGGAUCUACAGCAGU